This 492-nucleotide ribosomal RNA is filed under the name uncultured bacterium. RNAcentral describes it as "partial 16S ribosomal RNA". It matches the Rfam family "Bacterial small subunit ribosomal RNA", at positions 29 to 507 of the family's 1533-position model. The record is from RNAcentral.
AGUGAACGCUGGCGGUAGGCCUAACACAUGCCAGUCGAACGGCAGCACAGUAAGAGCUUGCUCUUACGGGUGGCGAGUGGCGGACGGGUGAGGAAUACAUCGGAAUCUACUUUUUCGUGGGGGAUAACGUAGGGAAACUUACGCUAAUACCGCAUACGACCCACGGGUGAAAGCAGGGGAUCUUCGGACCUUGCGCGAUUGAAUGAGCCGAUGUCGGACUAGUUGGUUGGCGGGGUAAAGGCCCACCAAGGCGACGAUCGGUAGCUGGUCUGAGAGAAUGAUCGGCCGCACUGGAACUGAGACACGGUCCAGACUCCUACGGGAGGCAGCAGUGGGGAAUAUUGGACAAUGGGCGCAAGCCUGAUCCAGCCAUCCCGCGUGGGUGAAGAAGGCCUUCGGGUUGUAAAGCCCUUUUGUUGGGAAAGAAAAGCAGCAGGUUAAUACCCCGCUGUUCUGACGGUACCCAAAGAAUAAGCACCGGCUAACUUCGUG